This 235-nucleotide unclassified non-coding RNA is filed under the name uncultured fungus. RNAcentral's name for it is "sequence contains ITS1". Lineage: Eukaryota; Fungi. The record is from RNAcentral.
GUAUUGUAUUGCGUUAAACGCGGCAUACAUUCCAUGAGACUUUAUUACAGUGUGUGUGUGUGUAAAGCAUAGAACCACAGCAGGGGGGACAGAGCCCCCACGGCUAUAGAACUAUGGAGGGUGCACAGGUGUGAGUGGAUGUGCAACAGAGCGUGCACAUGCCCCCAUUUGAGGACCAGCAACAACUCGUGUCGACGGUUCGGUAAUGAUCCUUCCGCAGGUUCACCUACGGAAA